This 464-nucleotide ribosomal RNA is filed under the name uncultured bacterium. RNAcentral describes it as "partial 16S ribosomal RNA". It matches the Rfam family "Bacterial small subunit ribosomal RNA", at positions 339 to 795 of the family's 1533-position model. The record is from RNAcentral.
CUACGGGGGGCUCCAGUGGGGAAUAUUGCACAAUGGGCGCAAGCCUGAUGCAGCCAUGCCGCGUGUAUGAAGAAGGCCUUCGGGUUGUAAAGUACUUUCAGCGGGGAGGAAGGGAGUAAAGUUAAUACCUUUGCUCAUUGACGUUACCCGCAGAAGAAGCACCGGCUAACUCCGUGCCAGCAGCCGCGGUAAUACGGAAGGUGCAAGCGUUAAUCGGAAUUACUGGGCGUAAAGCGCACGCAGGCGGGUUGUUAAGUCAGAUGUGAAAUCCCCGGGCUCAACCUGGGAACUGCAUCUGAUACUGGCGAGCUUGAGUCUCGUAGAGGGGGGUAGAAUUCCAGGUGUAGCGGUGAAAUGCGUAGAGAUCUGGAGGAAUACCGGUGGCGAAGGCGGCCCCCUGGACGAAGACUGACGCUCAGGUGCGAAAGCGUGGGGAGCAAACAGGAUUAGAUACCCCAGUAGUC